RNAcentral lists this transfer RNA (73 nucleotides) under Stegodyphus mimosarum. It matches the Rfam family "tRNA". From Rfam's summary of the family: Transfer RNA (tRNA) molecules are approximately 80 nucleotides in length. Their secondary structure includes four short double-helical elements and three loops (D, anti-codon, and T loops). Lineage: Eukaryota; Metazoa; Arthropoda; Arachnida; Araneae; Eresidae. The record is from Rfam by way of RNAcentral.
GUCUUCGUGGUGCAGCGGUCAGCACGCUCGCCACGUAUUCGGGUGAUCCGUGGUUCGAGUCCCGGUAAAGGCU